RNAcentral lists this ribosomal RNA (301 nucleotides) under uncultured bacterium. RNAcentral's name for it is "partial 16S ribosomal RNA". It matches the Rfam family "Bacterial small subunit ribosomal RNA", at positions 509 to 807 of the family's 1533-position model. The record is from RNAcentral.
CAGUCGCCGCGGGAAUACGUAGGGUGCAAGCGUUAAUCGGAAUUACUGGGCGUAAAGCGUGCGCAGGCGGUUUGUUAAGACAGAUGUGAAAUCCCCGGGCUCAACCUGGGAACUGCAUUUGUGACUGGCAAGCUAGAGUCUGGCAGAGGGGGGUGGAAUUCCGCGUGUAGCAGUGAAAUGCGUAGAUAUGCGGAGGAACACCGAUGGCGAAGGCAGCCCCCUGGGCCAACACUGACGCUCAUGCACGAAAGCGUGGGGAGCAAACAGGAUUAGAUACCCGAGUAGUCCCUGUCUCUUAUAC